Molecule: ribosomal RNA, 586 nt
Filed under: uncultured bacterium
Lineage: Bacteria
Description: partial 16S ribosomal RNA
Rfam family: Bacterial small subunit ribosomal RNA
Source: RNAcentral
UGGGGAAUUUUGGACAAUGGGCGAAAGCCUGAUCCAGCAAUGCCGCGUGUGUGAAGAAGGCCUUCGGGUUGUAAAGCACUUUUGUCCGGAAAGAAAUCCUCUGGGUUAAUACCUCGGGGGGAUGACGGUACCGGAAGAAUAAGCACCGGCUAACUACGUGCCAGCAGCCGCGGUAAUACGUAGGGUGCAAGCGUUAAUCGGAAUUACUGGGCGUAAAGCGUGCGCAGGCGGUUUUGUAAGACGGAUGUGAAAUCCCCGGGGCUUAACCUGGGAACUGCAUUCGUGACUGCAAGGCUAGAGUAUGGCAGAGGGGGGUAGAAUUCCACGUGUAGCAGUGAAAUGCGUAGAGAUGUGGAGGAAUACCGAUGGCGAAGGCAGCCCCCUGGGCCAAUACUGACGCUCAUGCACGAAAGCGUGGGGAGCAAACAGGAUUAGAUACCCUGGUAGUCCACGCCCUAAACGAUGUCAACUAGUUGUUGGGGAUUCAUUUCCUUAGUAACGUAGCUAACGCGUGAAGUUGACCGCCUGGGGAGUACGGUCGCAAGAUUAAAACUCAAAUGAAUUGACGGGGUCAUAGCUGUUUCCU